Molecule: ribosomal RNA, 254 nt
Filed under: uncultured bacterium
Lineage: Bacteria
Description: partial 16S ribosomal RNA
Rfam family: Bacterial small subunit ribosomal RNA
Source: RNAcentral
UACGGGGGGAGCAAGCGUUGUUCGGAUUUACUGGGCGUAAAGGGCGCGUAGGCGGCCAGCACAAGUCAGUUGUGAAAUCUCCGAGCUUAACUCGGAAAGGUCAACUGAUACUGUGCGGCUAGAGUGCGGAAGGGGCAACUGGAAUUCUUGGUGUAGCGGUGAAAUGCGUAGAGAUCCGGAGGAACACCAGAGGCGAAGGCGGCCUACUGGGCUGCACCUGACGCUGAGCCGCGAAAGCCAGGGGAGCGAACGGG